RNAcentral lists this ribosomal RNA (490 nucleotides) under uncultured bacterium. Its description in RNAcentral is "partial 16S ribosomal RNA". It matches the Rfam family "Bacterial small subunit ribosomal RNA", at positions 30 to 507 of the family's 1533-position model. The record is from RNAcentral.
AUUGAGCGCUGGCGGCAUGCCCUACACAUGCAAGUCGAACGGCAGCAUGAUCUAGCUUGCUAGAUUGAUGGCGAGUGGCGAACGGGUGAGUAAUACAUCGGAACGUGCCCUGUCGUGGGGGAUAACUAGUCGAAAGAUUAGCUAAUACCGCAUACGACCUGAGGGUGAAAGUGGGGGACCGCAAGGCCUCAUGCUAUAGGAGCGGCCGAUGUCUGAUUAGCUAGUUGGUGAGGUAAAGGCUCACCAAGGCGACGAUCAGUAGCUGGUCUGAGAGGACGAUCAGCCACACUGGGACUGAGACACGGCCCAGACUCCUACGGGAGGCAGCAGUGGGGAAUUUUGGACAAAGGGCGAAAGCCUGAUCCAGCAAUGCCGCGUGUGUGAAGAAGGCCUUCGGGUUGUAAAGCACUUUUGUCCGGAAAGAAAUGGCUCUGGUUAAUACCUGGGGUCGAUGACGGUACCGGAAGAAUAAGGACCGGCUAACUACGUG